Molecule: non-coding RNA, 474 nt
Organism: Pelobates cultripes (western spadefoot toad)
Lineage: Eukaryota; Metazoa; Chordata; Amphibia; Anura; Pelobatidae
Source: the annotation of a GenBank genome assembly
CUUACCUUCAGAUGGACCAUUCAUAAGUGCUGUGAGGAGAGGGGUCCAGCUUGCAGGUAGCUGGUGCUGUUCCUGGUGUGGGGAGCAGGAGAGCUGUGCACUGUGAGCACAGGCUACUUCCUGUUCCCCUUAGAGUGCUUCCGGUGUUCACAGGCAGGGGGCAGCCGGGAUACCAAGGCAUGUCCCGGCUUCCCCUGCCUGCAGGAAGUUGAGUGCUCUGCUCGGGUGCUGGGGUUACAGCAUAGGUAAGUGCUGUAACCCCAGGCAAGUGGCUGCAGAGAGAGCCCAGCAGCUGAAUGGCUGCGCUGGGGGGUGGCUAAGAAGCCACUCGCCCAGCACACCAGCCCCAGGCAGCAGCAGGGCCGCCCACCAGGAAACCUCCCGGUGGGCGCCCCCCAGAGGCCGGCGCCCUAGGCGAGUGCCUUAUUCGCCUUAAUGGUAGCGCCGGCCCUGCCUGUGAGGUACGUACCGUCA